Molecule: non-coding RNA, 148 nt
Filed under: Chlorocebus sabaeus (green monkey)
Lineage: Eukaryota; Metazoa; Chordata; Mammalia; Primates; Cercopithecidae
Source: Rfam by way of RNAcentral
GCCAGGCACCAUGGCGGGUGCCUGUAGUCCCAGCUACUCGGGAGGCUGAGGCAGAAGAAUUGCUUGAACCCGGGAAGUGGAGGUUGCAGUGAGACGAGAUCAUGCCACUGCACUCCAACCUGGGUGACAGAGCAAGACUCCGCCUCAA